This 492-nucleotide ribosomal RNA is filed under the name uncultured bacterium. RNAcentral's name for it is "partial 16S ribosomal RNA". It matches the Rfam family "Bacterial small subunit ribosomal RNA", at positions 29 to 507 of the family's 1533-position model. The record is from RNAcentral.
AGUGAACGCUGGCGGUAGGCCUAACACAUGCAAGUCGAACGGCAGCACAGUAAGAGCUUGCUCUUACGGGUGGCGAGUGGCGGACGGGUGAGGAAUACAUCGGAAUCUACUUUUUCGUGGGGGAUAACGUAGGGAAACUUACGCUAAUACCGCAUACGACCUACGGGUGAAAGCAGGGGAUCUUCGGACCUUGCGCGAUUGAAUGCGCCGAUGUCGGAUUAGCUAGUUGGCGGGGUAAAGGCCCACCAAGGCGACGAUCCGUAGCUGGUCUGAGAGGAUGAUCAGCCACACUGGAACUGAGACACGGUCCAGACUCCCACGGGAGGCAGCAGUGGGGAAUAUUGGACAAUGGGCGCAAGCCUGAUCCAGCCAUACCGCGUGGGUGAAGAAGGCCUUCGGGUUGUAAAGCCCUUUUGUUGGGAAAGAAAAGCAGCAGGUUAAUACCCCGCUGUUCUGACGGUACCCAAAGAAUAAGCACCGGCUAACUUCGUG